AAUAACGACUUCCGCCUCACUAACUCAGGUGAACCAAGUCAUUUCUCUCUAGCUCAUUACCUGUGGCAGUCGUCCGUCUACCAGGUGUCUGUUUGGUCAGGACAAUGAUGAACGUAACUCUUCUCUCAGCUGUGUCUAUACUACUCGGGAGACACGAAUCAUUAAGUACGUCACCUGGGUACACCUGUGAGGGGCCCACACCACUGUUCCUGAGGGCCCCCUGUGUCUACCUGUCUCUCCUCCCACCCGAUGACAACCUGAAUAAACUACUAAGCUUAACAUGGCCAAGAUUAGACAGUUCCUGGUACAAGAGGCGGUGGAUGGAGGGCGAGAGAUCGUCCUCAACUGAAGAAGGCCCUCAAACACAGCACGACAGAUCUUCGUUUCCUGCAGAUGACAAUGAUGGCGGCACAUCCCUCAACCAGUAACGCGUAUCACCACUGAUGUCAUAG
Long non-coding RNA from Homarus americanus (American lobster), 452 nucleotides. RefSeq lists it as uncharacterized. The transcript has 3 exons. Lineage: Eukaryota; Metazoa; Arthropoda; Malacostraca; Decapoda; Nephropidae. The record is from RefSeq and is a predicted model, not a curated record.